UUUCGUUUAAAGGAGGAUGCAAUUUUGCCCGUGAAUGCAUUUUCUCAAAAUGCGUUUGCUUCAUUCCUUCUUUGCUAAAGAAUAUCAACGGAUUUGCUAAUGUGAGUUGCUUUUAGACUGGUCUGUGGUUUUCCGUUCUUUUUAUUUCUUUCCUCCCCUUUGGGCAUUUUUUUUUUCUGCUUAAAAAAAGACAAUCCUUUUAUAAAUAACUGGAAAAGGAAAUUACUCUAGGUCCUCUUUUUUUUUUUUUUAAAGCAUUUGCCUAAGUCGGGUUAUCUUUUGUCUUUAUCACUUCAUAAAGUAGCGCAAUUAAAGAUGGGAUGUUGCAUGGGUAUAAAGGGUGGAUCCAUAAUACGGCGACAUAAUACGCUAUAUUCUCGCCUGAAAGUUUGCAGCUAAAUUACGAUUUCGCCUUUCCUAGACUUAAAAAUCAAUGUUUUCUCAAUUAAAGGGAAUUUUAAUGCUUUACUUGCGAGUUGUUAAAGGCGCUGUAAAUUUUAUUGUAAUGCUUCUUGGCUUCGGAGUAGAUGCAGGCGACCGGUUGAUUCUCGUGGUCUUUUUCCUCUCAAAGAACCUAGUCCAGGAACUUCCAGUGUGUCAGAUCAAAUCCAAGCAACAAAGGUAAGGAGGGUUUCGAGAGAGACGGGGCAAAGGGUGGGGAGCCCGCCAGGGGAGCCCUCCAGCGCUAGAGGCCAUUGUCUUGUAUAUUUUCACCUCUCUGUGUCCCGCCUCCAGAAAGUGACAGAAGUGUCCCUUUUCACUCUAAUCUUUCUCAAAGGGGAGCACGUUCGACUCCCAUCUGCUCUGUGAUGGCCAGAAAAGAAGCUGCAUUUGGGGAGCAUUCUAGACUGUCUCCAGUUUCCCCCUUCCCUUUCUCUUCUCCUUAUUUUGCCAAAAUUUAAGUCUGAACUCUUUCACAAAUUCUGCCAUAUUUUAUAUGUGUUCUGACCUCUAUGUCAGAACUCAUUCCCCCACCCUCAAGAGCGCUCACUGUUUACAGAUGUUUUCUCCUUCCACACGGUCCCACCUAGUAAAAGUUCCUGCAGAGAAUUAACUGUGGUGUGUUAAUAGCCCAGGUCUGCUACUGCUCUCUCCUGCAAAGCUGAAAUCUGGUAAAGGUGGAGAAUGGCAUUGAACUUAUGUUGGGUAGCUGCUCCAGGCCCACAGGAGCCCAGACCUGAGCAUUCCAGGCCCGGGGAUUGGGUGGGAAGAAAGGUAGUGAAACUUUCAGGAUGUAAGGCAGAGAGGAAGAUAAGAAAAUGUGGCUAGAACAGAUCCUAAUAAGAGAAGAAUAGGGGAAGGCAGAAAAACGAGCCUUUGGGACCUCUUUGUAAUUUAAAAAGAAAUAAUAAUGAAGGGAAAUGGAGUAUCUAAAGCUUGCUAUUACAUUUUUUUAAACCCAAUGUCUGUUUAAGAACAAGUCCUCAGAGAUGCCAGCAAGGGCCUGAGUUUCCAAAUGGAACUGCUCACAAAGUUCCUUUGCAGUUCCCUCUUGAGUUAAUUUGCUGGGAAUGUGAAGACUGGGGAGAGGGCUCUGUGUGUGGUGUACCAAGGGCUCCAGUGAGAGUAUGAUGGGAAGGGGCACCUAGAUAUAAUGAGGCUGCUGUUUGAAGCUGAAUAGAGAAGUGGGGAAGGGGGAGAAAGCCGCACAACACUACGGUGCACUUUAAAAUUAUUCACACCUACCUGCCUUUCCCCUUUAACCACACUAUCAAAUAUUAUACAUAGGUGGGGGAAAUUUCUAGUUCAUCAUCUUUUGUCUAUAGCCCCACCCAAUUGAUCCCCCUUUGCUUAGAAGCCUGACAUGUAAGCCUAGACCAUGGCCUUUUUAUCAAGUGAGUGGGGCUUUGUUAAUGUAUUUGUACUUUUCAGCUUUCAGUCUAAGUUUCUCGCUUUGGAGGAAGGAGGGGGUGCAAGAAAGGAGGGGGAGGGGAGCAGAACACAAAGACUAUCUAGUUCUCACCAAGCAGGUUUCAGAAUAGGAACUUAAUGGGAAGGGAAAAAAAUGAAAGAAUGAAGAAAAAAAAAAUAAAGAGUGUAGUGAAAAUUGCUUAUCACAACAGGUUUGCUUGUCUGGAAGAGAGGUGAUUCUGCGAAUAUUUUUCCCUUUGAGGAUUCUGUUUUCUUCUUGUUGAAACAUUUUCAAAUUUUAAUCCUUUAGCAGACAAAAACCUCAAUAUAAAUAUGACAUGGGCCACUGGCAAAAAAGCCGAACUUAAACUCCGUGCUGAGAGGAGGGUGUGUGUGUGUGUGUGUGUGUGUGUGUGAGGGGGGGGGUGGAGAGAGCCCUUUCUGAUUAAUAACUAGCAGGGUAAUGUUGAGGGCUUUUUCUGCCCGAUUGCCUUUUUGAAUUAGAGCCGAUUUCUUCACACUUCAAUAGUGCCUGUCUCCUUUAAAAUGACUGGCAGAUUUGUUUCUCUUUUUUUCUCUCCCUGAGACUUAAUGAUGUAAAUUUUCUAAUUAGUUAAAUCAUAUUGCUUAAAGGCCUAAUAUUUACCGUGUAAGAAAUGAUCAUCCUGAUUUGGACCUCUUGAAAUAUUCCGAGAAAUAACAUUUGGCUUUUAGGUUGAAGGAUGAGAGAAGAGGAAGCUGUGUUAGGGAUAGUAGUUUAGAGGAGAGAAGGCAUAGACCCCGGCAACAUGUUAAAUUAAUAGUUGAAGUUGAGCUGGGCUCACACCCCAAGUCCGCUUUUAUUUUUCAAUCAGCGAAGAUUUAAUUGGCAGCCCUCAGGCCGGGCGAUCUGAUAUUUUCUCAUUAGUUUCCCAUCACUAAUCUUGAGUGUUAGAUUGGCUUAAAGGUUGUCAACAUUUGACCAAUUUUAUUUAAGGGAAAAAAAAAAAUCCCGCAUUAUGGCUCCGGGAUGUGAGAUCUGCAAAUAAAUCCUGCUUGGAUCAGCGGAACUAACAGGCGAAAAAAAUGUUGACUAUUCAUCGUCGCAUUUAAUAAGUUGCAUUAAUGUAUAUUUCAAGGCUAGGGAGAGAGAGAUUGUACAAGAGCUGUGUAGAUGCAGAUGAAAAGAGGUUGAUGGGGAGGCGGCUGCAGUGAGCGCGAUGGGUAGGUAAAGUGAGGCAUAGGUACAUUUCGAACAGAGGGGUAAAUAACCCAAGUGGAAUAGCUGUUGAGGGUUUAGGACCUACAAUCCCUCCUCCCCUUCCUUUUGCAGCUGCGUGAAACUAACUGCAAAGCCGGUGUUGAAGCUCGGAGCCGCACGGCUGUCUCGUCCACAUAUAACAUCAGAGCGCCCCCUGCUGGCCAGCGGAGUAGACCGCUGCAGGUCAGCCCCCUGCGAAGCAAAUCUUGUUUUUCUAUGUCCCCCCGCCCCCCAUCACAGUGACUCCCUUCCACCAACCCCACCUCGGUUCUGCAGCAAAACCCCGCGGGAGAGAAAUAACUUGCAAAGGCUGAACAUUUAAAUGAAUAAAUAGUAAAAAAAAAAAAAUAAUAAAGUACGAAGGAACCCCCACCUUCACUUGGCCUCCGGGGAAUUAACUAUCAAAUGACUAGAAAAGGGACACAUUUUCUCUUUCUAAAUCCUUUUAUUCUCUGGGUGUUUGCUGUGAUUUGUUUGUUUGUUUUGGCCAAACUGUAGAUUCCGGAGUGUAAGGAAAUGUUUGUAAUAGAUGCUGUCAAAGUUUAAAAAAAAAAAAAAUCUGAUGGGGAAAGAGGUCAAUACAAAACAAUAUUUUGCAGCUUCGCAAAAUAAAACUCCUGAGGAGCUUGCACUGUUUCCGUAACGUCCCACAGAAUCGCUUUCGGAAUUCAGUGCCUGGUAUUGAAUGACCCUUUCCUGCACCGCAAAGAAAAUACUGGUCCCUGUCCGAUUUUUUCCUCCCAAAUAGAAAAUGUAUUCAAAAGUUGUCUCCAUACCUUGUCUAUCGACACACACACACACACACACACACACACACACACACACACGGAAACGGAAUUUUGCUGGAAACGGAAAGGGUAGCUGGAGCGCACCAAAAACAAACCGCCAAUGUCUUUGACAUUUGAUCAUAUUCUGGUGCUUCACGUCAAAUGCAAGCGUGGGACUAUUUGAGAGUGUCUGGAUUACUAUUUUUUUUUUCGACCGUUUUGGUGCAUACAGGCGUUUUCUCGGCUUCCCAAUUAAUCUUCACGGAUUUAUGACCGCUCUAACGCGAGGGCGCACAGGUAACGAGAGCCGGGGCAAUCUCCGGCUGGCAGACGCGGUGACUCCGCCGCCAGUCUCUACUCUUGGGAAAGGCGCUGGCAUAGCAGUCCUGACUCGGAGAAGUCUCCUGACCACAGCUAGACCCCACACACAGAGUGUAAACCUGCAGCGAGGAACGACUUUAGUGUGUGGGGAGUUUGGGGGUUGCUUUUGAAAUACCCGGAUUUCAGGAUUCUGUGCAAACUGCUGUCAGAAAUGGGGCGCGGGGGAAGGCAGGGAGGAAAGGGGGGUGUCUUGAUGUUCAUUUCUGGCCAGGGUACCAGGAGUGUCUCCUUUACAAACCGCUCUCUUCCCUUGCUUCUCCCUAGAACCCUCCUGUGUCACGCCUUCUCCAACCCUCCUCUUUGGGGACGCUCCGGACCGGGAUGGGGACCCCGGGGGAACAGGGAAGGUGCUCUGCUAGGACAAGUCAGAGGCCGCCCGGGUCUUCUGGUGUUUGAAGAAUUGCUGGGAUUAUUUUUGCUAACUGAGGUAAAUUAAAUAUACUCCAAGUUGUUCUCAUUUUUUUUUUUUUUUUUGCCCGUUUUAAAGAAGUUCAGUGAGUUCAAACUUACUUUAAAUGUAAACCCUGGUCUGGAGGAAGCAGUGUCUGCGGCUUGCCACUGAAGUUGACUUUUGGAAAGGUCUUCAUUAAGCUCAGAAGUGGAAGAGGAGUUAUCUGCAGACAAUAUUGGUUCCUUUAAAUAUGUAUGUAUAUAUAAAACACGUUUUAUAUAUCUAGAUCUAUCUACCUGUAACAAAGAAAAGGAAGCAAGCGUCCCCAAUGCAGUUGAAUCUGAGUAGAAAUGUUUCCAGUAAGACACUUACAGAUUAAGAAAAUAGGAACACCUCAUCGUAUUUGUCUCUGUUUGACUUAAUGAAAUUUGGAGACACUGACAGUCUGGUCAAUGUUCUACGUAAAUUAAUGCAAAGGUCUUUAGAAAGAGACUGAAGAUACCUCUUGCCAUUAAUCUUAAACCACUUGAAGAUUAUGAUUAGAUGAAUGAGAUCACUAAGCAUUAUCAUUUCAAAUAGCCGUUAACUGUCUCCACCCCUGUAUUGUGGCAACAAAAUAAACUCUCCAGGAGGAAUGGUGUUUCUUCCUUUUUUUAUCUUUGUUUUGGUUUUGCUUUAAGAAGAAGGGGAAAGCACAAGAAAAGAAAAUCAUCUCGAGAAAGUCUUGGAUCUCCUGCUGUUAAAAAGCUGCUGUUUGUUUCCGACUUCCCCAUCUUUUGCUACACAAGGAAAAGAAAUCGAAUGAUGUGUCCACCUUUGAUGAGAAGUAAACACUAACGACAACAGGGAAGCUGCAUUUGUUUUGUUUUCUUUUCCCCUGAAAAAAAAUUUUUUUAAGAAAAAAAAAAUCCACCAAUUUAGCGAGUUGAAAAUCGUGGAGAUGUAAAAGAUGUUCACGUGUCCACGUCUAUUCGCUGACUUUCACCACUUGAAUUUUGUAGGCUUUUGUGUCAAAUAGAAAUUAUGGAAAAGAGAAUUAGACACUUGCCAAGGAACAAUAUUAUACACUUUCAAGUAAACUCCACCUAAUCCUGUAUUUGAGUGCUGAGGGGUGUGUGUGCUGUUUUCCCCUAAUAAACCUCAAAGCCCUCAUUAGACAGAGAGAACGAGGGGUGGAGAACUCUAUUACUGGGCAUUCUGACAAAAAAAUGGAAGCAGCGCCUCUCUGCCCCUAGAGCCCCAGGAAAGUGCACCCCGAUAAUAUGGAAAAGCCGUGUGUUUUCCUUGAGAGCCCCGAGUUGGGCAGACCUGUCAGAGAAAUACGCAGAAAUUAACAUUUUGA
This 5972-nucleotide long non-coding RNA is filed under the name Lynx pardinus (Iberian lynx). The record is from RNAcentral. Lineage: Eukaryota; Metazoa; Chordata; Mammalia; Carnivora; Felidae.